RNAcentral lists this ribosomal RNA (614 nucleotides) under uncultured fungus. Its description in RNAcentral is "eukaryotic LSU rRNA". The stretch from base 160 to 311 matches the Rfam family "5.8S ribosomal RNA". The record is from RNAcentral. Lineage: Eukaryota; Fungi.
UCCGUAGGUGAACCUGCGGAAGGAUCAUUAACACUAAUCCAAUUCAACUCAACGAAGCCUUUAGUUGCCUCAGCAGCGCUUGCCUCGUGCAGUGCAGCUGGUGCAGCCCAACAAACUUAAUCACGCAAAGGAAGCUAACUAAGCUAUACCUUAAAUCCAAAUUCUCAACGAUGGAUAUCUUGGUUCCCAUAACGAUGAAGAACGCAGCGAAGUGCGAUAAGCAAUGCGAAUUGCAGAACCGUGAGUCAUCAGAUUUUUGAACGCAACUGGCGCCGACUGGCUCUCCAGUCGGCAUGCUUGUUUCAGUGUCUCUUUAUCUCAUCACCCAGAUCAUAAUGCGAGAGAUACCCUUCUCUUGCUAAGCAUGAAAGCACUCUGCGCUCUGCGAGCGGCUUCGACUUGUUCGAUGGUCGCACUCAAUGCAGCAGUCACAUUGCUCACAAUGUGAACUCAUUGAGAGCUGAGGCAGUGCGGUUUACCGCCAGUGCUUAGUCACCCAAACUUUCUUUGCAUCUGAAAUCAAGCAGGGGAUCACCCGGCUGGAACCUUAAGGCAUAUCAAUAAGGCGGGAGGGAAGGUCGGACUGGCCAAGGGGCACACAGGGGGGGGGGAUA